CGGUGGGCGGGGGUGCUAUACAUGCAAGUAGAACGCUGAAGAGAGGAGCUUGCUCUUCUUGGAUGAGUUGCGAACGGGUGAGUAACGCGUAGGUAACCUGCCUUGUAGCGGGGGAUAACUAUUGGAAACGAUAGCUAAUACCGCAUAACAAUGGAUGACACAUGUCAUUUAUUUGAAAGGGGCAAUUGCUCCACUACAAGAUGGACCUGCGUUGUAUUAGCUAGUAGGUGAGGUAACGGCUCACCUAGGCGACGAUACAUAGCCGACCUGAGAGGGUGAUCGGCCACACUGGGACUGAGACACGGCCCAGACUCCUACGGGAGGCAGCAGUAGGGAAUCUUCGGCAAUGGGGGCAACCCUGACCGAGCAACGCCGCGUGAGUGAAGAAGGUUUUCGGAUCGUAAAGCUCUGUUGUAAGUCAAGAACGAGUGUGAGAGUGGAAAGUUCACACUGUGACGGUAGCUUACCAGAAAGGGACGGCUAACUACGUGCCAGCAGCCGCGGUAAUACGUAGGUCCCGAGCGUUGUCCGGAUUUAUUGGGCGUAAAGCGAGCGCAGGCGGUUUGAUAAGUCUGAAGUUAAAGGCUGUGGCUCAACCAUAGUUCGCUUUGGAAACUGUCAAACUUGAGUGCAGAAGGGGAGAGUGGAAUUCCAUGUGUAGCGGUGAAAUGCGUAGAUAUAUGGAGGAACACCGGUGGCGAAAGCGGCUCUCUGGUCUGUAACUGACGCUGAGGCUCGAAAGCGUGGGGAGCGAACAGGAUUAGAUACCCUGGUAGUCCACGCCGUAAACGAUGAGUGCUAGGUGUUGGAUCCUUUCCGGGAUUCAGUGCCGCAGCUAACGCAUUAAGCACUCCGCCUGGGGAGUACGACCGCAAGGUUGAAACUCAAAGGAAUUGACGGGGGCCCGCACAAGCGGUGGAGCAUGUGGUUUAAUUCGAAGCAACGCGAAGAACCUUACCAGGUCUUGACAUCCCGAUGCUAUUUCUAGAGAUAGAAAGUUACUUCGGUACAUCGGUGACAGGUGGUGCAUGGUUGUCGUCAGCUCGUGUCGUGAGAUGUUGGGUUAAGUCCCGCAACGAGCGCAACCCCUAUUGUUAGUUGCCAUCAUUCAGUUGGGCACUCUAGCGAGACUGCCGGUAAUAAACCGGAGGAAGGUGGGGAUGACGUCAAAUCAUCAUGCCCCUUAUGACCUGGGCUACACACGUGCUACAAUGGUUGGUACAACGAGUUGCGAGUCGGUGACGGCAAGCUAAUCUCUUAAAGCCAAUCUCAGUUCGGAUUGUAGGCUGCAACUCGCCUACAUGAAGUCGGAAUCGCUAGUAAUCGCGGAUCAGCACGCCGCGGUGAAUACGUUCCCGGGCCUUGUACACACCGCCCGUCACACCACGAGAGUUUGUAACACCCGAAGUCGGUGAGGUAACCUUUGGAGCCAGCCGCCUAAGGUGGAAUAAU
This 1452-nucleotide ribosomal RNA is filed under the name Streptococcus salivarius. RNAcentral describes it as "bacterial SSU rRNA". It matches the Rfam family "Bacterial small subunit ribosomal RNA". Lineage: Bacteria; Bacillati; Bacillota; Bacilli; Lactobacillales; Streptococcaceae. The record is from RNAcentral.